CUGGAUGAGAUGCGAGGAAUCUUAUUGAGAGUUUUUAAUUUUUGUUUUUAUCUAACAGAUACCUGGCUUUCCACGUCCAGUAUGAAUGGCUAAUGAUACAUUAAAUACAUGACACGGAUACAUUACUGGCUCCAACAUGCCAGUCUGCCAGUGUUGUGAUUUUUUGUUGUUUUUUUACGACGAUUAUGCAAUCACUUCUUACUCAUAACUAUCUAAAAAUUGUCUACCUAACUGACUGAGGUGCAGGGAAUCUCCUGCAGUUUUAACGACCAACUUCGCCGUUAUUCCAGGGGUUCAAUGUUCCGCUCCGUAGCCCCUUCUUCAAUCGCUGUAA
Molecule: long non-coding RNA, 334 nt
Filed under: Physcomitrium patens
Lineage: Eukaryota; Viridiplantae; Streptophyta; Bryopsida; Funariales; Funariaceae
Description: long non-coding RNA (PPAT_LNC003724)
Source: RNAcentral